GUUUCUGUAGUUGAAUUACAACGGUGGUUUUUCAAGCCAUUGGUUUUGGUUAGAGUCCUGAUGGGAACG
RNAcentral lists this transfer RNA (69 nucleotides) under Ophisternon candidum (blind cave eel). Its description in RNAcentral is "tRNA-Glu". It matches the Rfam family "tRNA". Rfam says of the family: Transfer RNA (tRNA) molecules are approximately 80 nucleotides in length. Their secondary structure includes four short double-helical elements and three loops (D, anti-codon, and T loops). Further hydrogen bonds mediate the characteristic L-shaped molecular structure. tRNAs have two regions of fundamental functional importance: the anti-codon, which is responsible for specific mRNA codon recognition, and the 3' end, to which the tRNAs corresponding amino acid is attached (by aminoacyl-tRNA synthetases). tRNAs cope with the degeneracy of the genetic code in two manners: having more than one tRNA (with a specific anti-codon) for a particular amino acid; and 'wobble' base-pairing, i.e. permitting non-standard base-pairing at the 3rd anti-codon position. Lineage: Eukaryota; Metazoa; Chordata; Actinopteri; Synbranchiformes; Synbranchidae. The record is from RNAcentral.